UGACUAUCAAACUUCUAGCUUUUGCGUC
This 28-nucleotide non-coding RNA is filed under the name Bombyx mori (domestic silkworm). Lineage: Eukaryota; Metazoa; Arthropoda; Insecta; Lepidoptera; Bombycidae. The record is from RNAcentral.